GCCUUCGUGAUCGGAAUGGUAGAGAUCCUGGUCUUAGGAACCAGCUGCUGAAAGGCGGCGGUUCAAAUCCGCCCGAAGGCACCA
This 84-nucleotide transfer RNA is filed under the name Chlamydomonas reinhardtii. Its description in RNAcentral is "tdbR00000609". It matches the Rfam family "tRNA". Rfam says of the family: Transfer RNA (tRNA) molecules are approximately 80 nucleotides in length. Their secondary structure includes four short double-helical elements and three loops (D, anti-codon, and T loops). The record is from RNAcentral. Lineage: Eukaryota; Viridiplantae; Chlorophyta; Chlorophyceae; Chlamydomonadales; Chlamydomonadaceae.